AGAUCAGAAUGCUGCGGUGAAUGCGUUCCCGGGCCUUGUACACACCGCCCGUCACACCACGAAAGUUGGCAACACCCGAAGUCAGUGAGCUAACCGGCAUAUCAUUUAGUUGUUCCAACUAAAUGAGUUGUAAGUUGUAAGGUCUAAGUUGUAUGUAAAAGCAUUAGGUCACCGAAGGUGACAUAAACAUAGAACUUAAAACGUAGAACUUAGAACUACAUCAUUUAAGAGUGAAACGAUUAAAUGAUGUGUCGGAGGCAGCUGCCGAAGGUGGGGUCGAUAAUUGGGGUGAAGUCGUAACAAGGUAGCCGUAUCGGAAGGUGCGGCUGGAUCACCUCCUUUCU
This 344-nucleotide ribosomal RNA is filed under the name Alkalibaculum bacchi. Its description in RNAcentral is "partial 16S ribosomal RNA". It matches the Rfam family "Bacterial small subunit ribosomal RNA", at positions 1346 to 1533 of the family's 1533-position model. The record is from RNAcentral. Lineage: Bacteria; Bacillati; Bacillota; Clostridia; Eubacteriales; Eubacteriaceae.